GUUAAAGCCUGUGGUGUUUAAGAGAGAAAUUAAAUAUAGCAAAGGAAAAAAUUUGCAAGGAAAGCAGUUGAGAGGUUUGAGUAGUUAACAUAGUUAGACAUCUGCUCGGAAAUCGCUUUGCCGGUUGUUUUUGGGCACAAUCCUGGGACCCCGGCGUGAAGCGUAGACGCGCUGAAGGCAUCACGUCUUCUCCGUCUGAGAAGGUUUUGAGUCUCAGGUGUAAUUAGACCACACAUUCACUGUUGGUCUCUUAUAAAGAGGUUUGUUGUGACAACCAGGAUGACUAACUACUCAAAUGAAGCCAACAUAAAGGUUAUUGAACGGGAUCAGAACACUAUUAUCAAACAAGCUGUAUCUUCAGUGAGUAAUCGUAAAUUAUAUAAUGCAUCAUAAAUAUAAGCCUGACGUCUCCUCGCCGUGGAAAACGCCUCUGGCAGAUUUCCAGCUGCUGGGUUUCAAGUCUUUGCAGUACGUCUGACGGUGGAAAAAAGCAUGAAUAAUGGAAGACAGUGUCACAUGAUGAUGCUGACGGGGCUGCGGUGACGGUGACCUUUCCCCAUCGCCAUGCCAACACUUUCCUGUCCCUCUGGCCAGCAGUGUCCCUGUCACCUACAAUCAGCGCAACAGUCCGGCCACCAAGCCGUCCUCUGAGUUUGGACCAAUCAUGACAUAAAGGGAAACGUUGCUGAAUAUAAACAGGGAGACUGUGAAACCCCCUCCGUCCAUCGGAUUAUCAUUAUAUGAAGAUUAGGCAUGUAAUGAAAUUCACAUAGCUUUAUCAUCACAUAUGAUAUUCACAUAUUCGCCUCCUUCUUUAAGCAAGAUAAGCUGCUCAACUGACACUGAUCCAAGGCUUGCCUUGCUAUAAAAAGCAACGUCAUAUGGCAAAUUUCUC
This is a long non-coding RNA of Gasterosteus aculeatus aculeatus (three-spined stickleback), 895 nucleotides long. The record is from Ensembl. Lineage: Eukaryota; Metazoa; Chordata; Actinopteri; Perciformes; Gasterosteidae.